GGAAAGCUGGUGAAAUGGUAGCCACGCAUCACUGCUAAUGAUGAGUCCGCAAGGGCAUGAAGGUUCAAGUCCUUCGCUUUCCG
Molecule: transfer RNA, 83 nt
Filed under: Klebsiella phage vB_KpnS-VAC51
Lineage: Duplodnaviria; Heunggongvirae; Uroviricota; Caudoviricetes; Demerecviridae
Also listed under: 1 other name
Description: tRNA-Ser
Rfam family: tRNA
About the family: Transfer RNA (tRNA) molecules are approximately 80 nucleotides in length. Their secondary structure includes four short double-helical elements and three loops (D, anti-codon, and T loops). Further hydrogen bonds mediate the characteristic L-shaped molecular structure. tRNAs have two regions of fundamental functional importance: the anti-codon, which is responsible for specific mRNA codon recognition, and the 3' end, to which the tRNAs corresponding amino acid is attached (by aminoacyl-tRNA synthetases). tRNAs cope with the degeneracy of the genetic code in two manners: having more than one tRNA (with a specific anti-codon) for a particular amino acid; and 'wobble' base-pairing, i.e. permitting non-standard base-pairing at the 3rd anti-codon position.
Source: RNAcentral